Molecule: long non-coding RNA, 1064 nt
Filed under: Mus pahari (shrew mouse)
Lineage: Eukaryota; Metazoa; Chordata; Mammalia; Rodentia; Muridae
Description: lncRNA (MGP_PahariEiJ_G0003732.1)
Source: RNAcentral
AAGAAAUGUUUAAUGGCAUGCGUAAGAAACUGGUUGAGGUCUAAGUCAUGUUCUAAACUGCUUCAGGGUAGAGAGACUUCUUAUGGCACCCUUGAGGGUUCAAUGCCGUGGCGCCCAGCGCAUCAGAAGGACACACCCACAGACAAUGUGCUUGAGGACAGACCUUGUAGGGGUGCUAUGGACUGGUUGGAGGACAUGAUUCCUUUUACAAUGAAAGUGUGAGAAGACUGUCUUACUGAGAUGGCAUGUGGAUAUUGAUGGAAAUUGCCUUGUUUGUAGGCAAAGACAACUCAAAACAAAACCAAAUAAACAAACAGAAAUAACAACAGCAAAGAAAAGUACAGUUCUGAGCAAGAGAAGAGAAAGUCCGCAGAGGACAGGACAGCAAUGUAAACAGAACAAUACUGUUUUUAAAAAAGGAGGAAUAUGAACUUCAGCAAGCUGAAAGGAACUUCCAUGAUCACCUUCUAGAAUGAUCGAAAUGACCUGCCAUUUCAAAGUCACCCCGACGUGUCCCGUGGGACGAAAACUACUGACAGCAAGAAAACCAGCUUUGACUUGGAGGCGAGCGUCCCCCCGGCCCCUGAGCAGCGCGCUGGCAGGGCGGCCGUUCCUUUCAGCUCGCUUUCACAGAUGGUAGUCUCAGCUGUGACAGGACCUCUGCCAUCCAAGUGAUGGGUAGGCAGGCAAACAGAAAGAGCAGCAUGUCCUGCGUGAUACAGACAACCAACGCUUCUCCAGAGGACGUGCAGUCAGUGAAGACACAGACAGAGAAGAAGUGAAAGGGAAAGUCGUGGAGGGCGGCCGCCUCCUCCUCGCCACCUACCAUCGGCUUUAGCUCUCGGGCGUCUGCGGCGCCUCCUUUGCCAGCUUCCUUCAGGGCUUUCCUACUGUUCUCCACAAACUCCUGCAAAACACGGAGCACACGGCAUUAACCUGAGGAUCUUCCUAGGUUUCAGUCAGUAGGUGAACUUCAAUGAUUCAACCUUAGUGGGUAAACAGAACUUUGAAUGAAGAUUGGCUGGGAUGGAUUGCAAUUCCUAGAUAGAAAAUCUUCCUUCCAU